ACCGACCGUUUGCACACCCCUAGUCAUGAAUGUAAUGUUAAAUUUUAGUAUGAUGGUUGAAUGUGAAUGGUUGAGAAUAUUAUAUAUAUACAUAUACUAAUACUAUGAUUGAGAUUAUAUGCUCAAUAUAUUUCAUUUGUUUUAAAUUUAGAACAGUUAAUCAAAUAUUUAUUUUAAGAACUACGUGGGUUUGAUUUCCCAUUUAAUAGGGUUACAUAGGCAACUUGAGGUAAAUUGAAUUUUACCUCAAGCCCAACCCGAACUUUUUCUAAAUAAAAUUUCAAUUGAAUUUUUCAUUAUCUACUUUGAGUUUUGUUCUUCAUUCUGUUGUUUUUUAUUAUUAAGAAAUUUUGUUAUAUAAAAUGAUUUAUUUAAUCCUGCUUUACUUAUUUUAUUGCUAAUUUUGGAUUGUGAAUAUGUUUGAAUUAUGAUACCUUAGCAAUAACAGAUUGAUUCAUAAUAAUAUUAGAGGAAUGGGCAUUAGUUGUUUAAGUUAUAAAGUAAUUCAGCUAGAUUAUAGGUCAGCCUUUUCUUAAAUUUCUGAGGGGUGUGACAGAGAGAAGAAAUGUUGCAGGCAUUUAAACACACAAGAAAACUAAAAAUAAUCAACUACUUUAACCUGCCCAUUCUCAAAUCAACUUAAUCAUUCUCUGCAGAUUCCUUAGAUAUCUAGAUGUAAUCUGCGUUGUGGCUUUCUUUUCCUAGAAAAUAAACUGCAUUUAAGACCAACUUGCUCUGCCUAAAGCAUAAACCAAAAAAGCACAAAGUGAAAUAAAUAAACUUAGUUAAUAAUUAAAUUAAGGAAAUUUGCAGCACGCUCUAACAAAAACGGAGAAAGGGAGGCAGGCAGUACCUGCGGUGGACACAUCGCAUUAG
This 876-nucleotide unclassified non-coding RNA is filed under the name Hevea brasiliensis (rubber tree). Lineage: Eukaryota; Viridiplantae; Streptophyta; Magnoliopsida; Malpighiales; Euphorbiaceae. The record is from RNAcentral.